Molecule: non-coding RNA, 126 nt
Organism: Triticum urartu
Lineage: Eukaryota; Viridiplantae; Streptophyta; Magnoliopsida; Poales; Poaceae
Source: Rfam
AACCCCCUGAUUCACCCCUCAAACUUUGGCCGGUAGGGGAGGUGAAAUCAGGGGGUCGAAACUGCCUGCUGGCAGAAAGGAUUAUAGCAAAUGGGUAUUCUAUUGCAAUACAGCCCGGCCAAUAUG